Molecule: ribosomal RNA, 250 nt
Filed under: uncultured bacterium
Lineage: Bacteria
Description: partial 16S ribosomal RNA
Rfam family: Bacterial small subunit ribosomal RNA
Source: RNAcentral
UACGAAGGGGGCUAGCGUUACUCGGAAUUACUGGGCGUAAAGGGCGCGUAGGCGGCGUUCCAAGUCAGGCGUGAAAGCCCUGGGCUCAACCUGGGGACUGCGCUUGAUACUGGAGUGCUUGAGGAUGGAAGAGGGUUGUGGAAUUCCCAGUGUAGAGGUGAAAUUCGUAGAUAUUGGGAAGAACACCGGUGGCGAAGGCGGCAACCUGGUCCAUUUCUGACGCUGAGGCGCGAUAGCGUGGGGAGCAAAC